GGUAUAGAACAUAAGUAGUAAACUCAUUAAUAUCAUUAUUGAUUUUACAACUUUCUCCAGUUUGAGUGCUUGUAGAUGACACAACAUUAUAAGAGAAGAAUGAACGUCACUUUCUUUUCCCACAUUUUUCAAGACCGCAUAUUUCAAGCAUUCUUGCUUUAAUCCCUCUAAAAGUGCUUGAUGCUAAUCUGUUUUUUUACAUUUUGGGACCUCCUAAAAAUAAUAGAGGGUUCCUGAGGGAUAUGGGAACAAAGGAACUCAUCCUCUAAUAAGAGAGGCCAAUUUUAAUUUUUUCAAGUCUUUUUUAAUGUCAAGGGCUGCUGAAUUAUAUUGGGU
Molecule: non-coding RNA, 336 nt
Organism: Pelobates cultripes (western spadefoot toad)
Lineage: Eukaryota; Metazoa; Chordata; Amphibia; Anura; Pelobatidae
Source: the annotation of a GenBank genome assembly